RNAcentral lists this long non-coding RNA (308 nucleotides) under Mytilus galloprovincialis (Mediterranean mussel). The record is from RNAcentral. Lineage: Eukaryota; Metazoa; Mollusca; Bivalvia; Mytilida; Mytilidae.
AUUUUCAUUGUCAUCAAAUUCUUUAUAAGCAAGUGAGAUCGGACAGUUAUAAUGGGGAAAAUUAUAGGGGUAGUACCACAGGGUUUAUUAUCACAGGGGCUUUGUUUGGGAGACUUUGUAACAGCAUCCUGUUAAAAUUAUGUAUUUUUUUUAAUUUCAUUUUAUGCGUUUGGGAUUUAUGGGACUUUAUUAGAAAAAGGGGGGGAUUUUCAACACUUUGGACUAUAACUCAAAAACGCUUUACCAAUGUCCAUGAAACUUUGGUGAAUUGUUUAUGUCUAUUGAUGUAAACUCUCUUUCGUUUUUUU